CAGCCUAACACAUGCAAGGUCGAACGGUAACCCGGACUUCGGUCUGGUGGCGAGUGGCGAACGGGUGAGUAAUGUAUCGGAACGUGCCCAGUAGCGGGGGAUAACUACGCGAAAGCGUAGCUAAUACCGCAUACGCCCUACGGGGGAAAGCAGGGGAUCGCAAGACCUUGCACUAUUGGAGCGGCCGAUAUCGGAUUAGCUAGUUGGUGGGGUAACGGCUCACCAAGGCGACGAUCCGUAGCUGGUUUGAGAGGACGACCAGCCACACUGGGACUGAGACACGGCCCAGACUCCUACGGGAGGCAGCAGUGGGGAAUUUUGGACAAUGGGGGAAACCCUGAUCCAGCCAUCCCGCGUGUGCGAUGAAGGCCUUCGGGUUGUAAAGCACUUUUGGCAGGAAAGAAACGUCAUGGGCUAAUACCCCGUGAAACUGACGGUACCUGCAGAAUAAGCACCGGCUAACUACGUGCCAGCAGCCGCGGUAAUACGUAGGGUGCAAGCGUUUAAUCGGAAUUACUGGGCGUAAAGC
RNAcentral lists this ribosomal RNA (529 nucleotides) under Achromobacter sp. HPC486. RNAcentral's name for it is "bacterial SSU rRNA". It matches the Rfam family "Bacterial small subunit ribosomal RNA", at positions 44 to 566 of the family's 1533-position model. The record is from RNAcentral. Lineage: Bacteria; Pseudomonadati; Pseudomonadota; Betaproteobacteria; Burkholderiales; Alcaligenaceae.